GAUGAAGAACGUAGCGAAAUGCGAUAAGUAAUGUGAAUUGCAGAAUUCAGUGAAUCAUCGAAUCUUUGAACGCACCUUGCGCUCCUUGGUAUUCCUUGGAGCAUGCCUGUUUGAGUAUCAUGAAAUUCUCAAAGUAAAUCUUUUUGUUAAUUCAAUUAGGUUCACUUUGGAUUUGGAGGUUUUUUGCAGCUUCACACCUGCUCCUCUUUGUGCAUUAGCUGGAUCUCAGUGUUAUGCUUGGUUCCACUCGGCGUUAUAAGUUAUCUAUCGCUGAGGACACUUUUUUUUUGUUUUUUUUCUAAAAAUAAAUAAAUAACUAAGUGGCCAAGGGAAAUGCAGAUGAACCGCUUCCAAUAGUCCAUUAGCUUGGACAAAUAUAUUUUUAUGAUCUGAUCUCAAAUCAGGUAGGACUACCCGCUGAACUUAAGCAUAUCAAUAAGCGGAGGA
Molecule: unclassified non-coding RNA, 447 nt
Filed under: soil metagenome
Description: partial contains 5.8S ribosomal RNA, internal transcribed spacer 2, and large subunit ribosomal RNA
Rfam family: 5.8S ribosomal RNA (bases 1-120)
Source: RNAcentral